This 31-nucleotide non-coding RNA is filed under the name Homo sapiens (human). The record is from RNAcentral. Lineage: Eukaryota; Metazoa; Chordata; Mammalia; Primates; Hominidae.
CUGGGAGGAAAAUGCCCAUGGUGAUCUGAGA